This 253-nucleotide ribosomal RNA is filed under the name uncultured bacterium. Its description in RNAcentral is "partial 16S ribosomal RNA". It matches the Rfam family "Bacterial small subunit ribosomal RNA", at positions 524 to 776 of the family's 1533-position model. The record is from RNAcentral.
GACGGAGGGGGCAAGCGUUGUUCGGAAUUACUGGGCGUAAAGCGCGCGUAGGCGGUUUGACAAGUGUUGGGUGAAAGCCCUCGGCUUAACCGGGGAAGUGCCUGGCAAACUGUUAGACUUGAGUGCCGGAGGGGGAGGCGGAAUUCCUGGUGGAGCGGUGGAAUGCGUAGAGAUCAGGAAGAACGUCGGUGGCGAAGGCGGCCUCCUGGACGGACACUGACGCUGAGGUGCGAAAGCGUGGGGAGCAAACAGG